UUUUAUUUAAAGGCUAUCUCUUAACAGAACAUAGCUGUUCUUGCUUUUUUAUACAUUCUAAUCAUCUCAGCAUUUUUUUGAAUAUUUAUUUAUUUUUAUUUGUUUGGUUUCUUUGCCCACAAAACUUAUUCAUUUUGUCAAUCAUUUGAAAGUAGCUUGCAUUCAUAAAGCCCUUGGGCUUAGGUCUUUUUAAAAAAAAUUCAUUCAUCUGUUUUUAUGUGUUUAUUUUUUCAACUUUCAUUUUAGAUUCAGGGGGUAUAUUUGCAUGUUUGUUACCUGGGUAUAUUGCAUCAUGCUGAGGUUUGGGAUAUGAAUGGUAGCAUUACCCAGGUACUGAGCAUAGUACUCACCAUUUGGUUUUUCAACCUUUUCCCCUCUCCCUUCUUCCCUGCUCUAGUAGUCCCCAGUGUCUAUUGUUACCAUCUUCACGUCCACACGUACCCAAAGUUUAGUUCCUACUUACAAGUGAGAACAUGUGGCAUUUAGUUUUCUGUUCCUGCAUUAAAUUGCUAGGAUAAUGGUGUCUGGCUGCAUCCACGUGGCUGCAAAGGACAUGAUUCGAUUCUUUUUUAUUACUGCAUAAUAUCCCAUGAUAUACAUGUACCAAAUUUUCUUUAUCUGAUCCACCAUUGAUGGGCACCUAGGUUGAGUCCAUAUCUUUGCUAUUGUGAAUAGUGCUGUGACAAUGAACAUGCAAGUACAUGUGUCUUUGGUAGAAUGAUUUGUUUUCUUUUGGAUCUAUACACAGUAAUGGAAUUGCUGGAUCGAAUGGUAGUUCUGUUUUAAGUUCUUUGGGAAAUCACCAAACUGCUUUCCACAGUGGCCGAACUAAUUUACAUUCCCACCAACAGUGUAUAAGCAUUCCUGUUUCUCAGCAGCCUCACCAACAUGUGGUUUUUUUUUGUUUGUUUAGUUUUGUUUUGUUUUUGUUGUUUUUUUUUUUUUUACUUUAGCCAUUCUGACUGGUGUGAGAUGGUAUCUCAUGGUGGUUUUGAUUUGUAUUUCUCUGAUGAUUAGGGACAAUGAGCAUUUUUUCAUGUUUGUUGGCCACUUGUAUGUCUGUCUCCCUUUGAGAAGUUUCUGUUCAUGUCUUUUGCCCAUUUUUUAAUGGGGUUGGUUUUUGCUUGUUCAAUCAUUUAAGUUCCUUAUAGACUCCAGAUAUUAGACCUUUAGUGGUUGUGUAAUUUGUGAAUAUUUUCUGUCAUCCUGUAGGUUGUUUACUCUGUUGACAGUUUCUUUUGCUGUGCAGAAGCUCUCUGGUUUGAUUAGUCUCACUUGUCAAUUUUUGGUUUUGUUGCAAUUGCUUUUGAGGACUUAGUCAUAAAUUCUUUCCCAAGGCUGAUGUCCAGAAUGGUGUUUCCUAGGUUUUCCUCUAGGAUUCUCAUACUUUGAGUUCUUACAUUUAAAUCUUUACUCCAUAUGGAGUUAGCUUUGUAUAUGGUGAAAUGUAGGGGUCCAGUUUCAUUCUUCUGUAUAUGGCUAGCCAGUUAUCCCAGCGCCAUUUAUUAAAUAAGGAAACCUUUCUCCAUUGCUUUUGUUAACUUUGUUGAAGAUCAGAUGGUUGUAAGUGUGCAGCUUUAUUUCUGGGUUCUCUAGUCUGUUCCAUUGGUUUCUGUGUCUGUCUUGUACCAGUACUAUACUGGUUUGGUUACUGUAGCCUUGUAGUAUAGCUUGGAGUUGGAAAAUGUGUGCCUCCAGCUUUGUUCUUUUUGUUUAAGUUUGCUUUGGCUAUUCAGUCUCUUUUUUGAUUCCACAUGUACUUUAUAAUAGUUUUUUCCAGUUCUGUGAAAUAUGGUAGAGUAGUUUUAUAAACUACCUGUAUAAAACCUGUAGAUUAUUUUGGGCAGUAUGGCCACAUUAAUGAAAUUGAUUCUUCCAAUCCAUGAGCAUGGAAUGUUUUUCCAUCUGUUUGUGUCUUCUAUGAUUUCUUUUAGCAGUGUUUUGUGGUUCCCCUUGUAGAUACAUUUCAUCUCCUUGGUUAGAUGUAUUCCUAAGUAUUUUAUAUACUUCUAUUUUUUCAGGCUAUUGUAAAUGAGAUUUCCUUCUUGAUUUGGCUCGCAAGUUGAACAUUAUUGGUGUACAGAAAUGCUACUGAUUUCUGUACAUUGAUUUAAUGACCUGAAACUUUACUGAAGUUGUUUCUGAGUUCUAGGAGGCUUUUGGUGGCGUCUUUGAGUUUUUUAGGAAUAGAAUCAUAUUGUCUGCAAAGAGAGAUAGUUUGAUUUCUUCUUUUCCUAUUAAGAUGCAUUUUAUUUCUUUCUCUUGCCUGAUUGCUGUGGCUAGCACUUCCAGUACUAUGUUGAAUAGGAGUAGUAAGAGUGGGCAUCUUUGUCUUGUUCCAGUUCGCAAGGGUAAUGCUUUCAGUUUUUGCCCAUUCAGUAUGAUAUUGGCUGUGGUUUUAUCAUAGAUGGCUCUUAUUAUUUAGAGGUAUGUUCUUCAGUGCCUACUUUCUUGAAGUUUUUUAUCAUGAAGGGAUGUUGGAUUAUAGCAAAAGCUUUUUCUACAUCUAGUGAGAUGAUUCUAAGGCUUUUUAAAAAUCCUAUUUAUGUGGUGAAUCACAUUUGUAUUUGCUCAUGUUGGACCAAAUUUGCAUGCCAGAAUGAAGCCUACUUGAUCAUGGUAAAUUAACCUUUUGAUGUGCUGUUGAAUUUGGUUUGCUGGUAUUAUGUUCAGGAUUUUUGCCUCUAUGUUCAUCAGGGAUAUUGGCCUGUUGAUUUCUUUUUUUUUUAUUGUGUGUUUGUCAGGUUUGCUAUCAGGGUGAUGCACAGAAUGAGUUUGGGAGGAGUUGCUCCUCUUCAAUUUUUUGGAAUAGUUCAGUAGAAUUGUACCAGCUCUUCUUUGUACAUCAGGUAGAAUUUUGCUAUGACACUGCUACAUUUUAAUUAGUGAUUAGUCCACUGACAUUUAGUCUGAUUACUGAUAUGGUUGCAUUUAGAGCUGCAAGUUUAUUAUAUGUUUUCUGUUUGCUCCUCCACUUCUUGUUUUUCUUUUUCUUCCCUCUGCAACUUUUGGAUCAUUUUUUUCUUAAUUUAGGAUUCUAUUUUAUCUUUGGAUUUUCAGUGGUUUUUCUAGGAAUUAAAACAUAUAUUCUUGAUCUUUCACAGUCUACUUAGAUUUAAUUUUAUACUAUCUCAUAUAAAAUUGGAAAACCUUGCAACUGUAUAAAUCCAUUUGCCACUGCCUCCAUUCUUUAUGCUAUAAAGUCAUAUGGAUUACAUCUGUACAUAUUACAUUAUAAACACCACAAGACAAUGUUAUAAUUUUUGCUUUAACAGGUCCUGUGUAGUUAAAGAUCUUAUCAUGAAAAACUAGUCUUUUAUAUUUACAAUUUCCAAAAUUUUUUCAUUCCUUCUUGAAGACUUAAGAUUCCAUCUGGUGUUAUCUCACUUUAUAGCCUGAACAAUCUUUCCUUUAGCAUUUCUGUGGGGCAGGUCUGCUGAUAAUAAAUGCUCUUAGUUUCCUUUUAUCUGAAAAUGUACUAAUUUGCCUUUACUCACAAAGGAUAUUUUUGCUACACAUAGAAUUCUGGAUUAACAGUGUUUUGCUUUUUUUUUUACCCCUCGUUUGUACUUUAAAAACAUCAUUUCAAUUUUUCUGGCCUUUAUAAAUUCUGAUGAGACGUCAUCGUUCAUUUAAAGCAUUGUUCCACCAAAGAUACCGUGCCAUUUUUCUCUGGCUACUAUCAAGAUUCUCUCUUUAUUGUUGGUCCUCACCAGUUGGAAUAUGAUGUACCUAUGCACAGUUUUCUUCAAAUGUAUCCCAUUUGGGAUUCACUGCAUUUCUUGAUCUAUGCAUUUAUGUAUUUCACCAAAUUUGAAAAUUUGGGCCCAUUAUUUCUUCAAAUAUUUUGUUCUGUUUCAUUCUCUUUCUCUUCUCCUUCUGAGACUCCAAUUACAUGUAAGCUAGACAUUUUAAUUUCUGUUACACAGGUCCCUGAGUCUCUGUUUAUUUUUUUUAUUCAGUCAUUUUAAGUCUUUUUUUCUGUCUGUUCUUCCAAAAGAAAAUUUCUAUGGAUCUAUCUUUAAGUUCACUAACACUUUCCUUUGUUUCCUCCAGUUGCUGUAAGUAUACUCAAUGAGUUUUUAUUUCAAAUACUGUAUUUUUCAGUUUCAGGAUUUCUAUUUGGUUCUUUUUGCAGUUUCUGUUUACUACCUUCUUAUUCAUUAUGAGUUUAUUUUCCUAUUAUUUGUGGAGCAUGGUUAAAAUAGCCACUUUAAAAUCUUUGUUAAUUCCCACAUUUGGCUCAUCUUGGAAUUGGUCUCAGAUAAUUGCUUUUUGUCUUCAGAAUGAGUCACAUUUUAUUGGGUUUCCAUAUAGCGUGUAAUUUGGGGUUGUAUGAUAUGCAAGUAUUGAUGUUAUUGUAUGCAGAGCUUCAAUCCUGUUAUAGUUUUCUGAAGGGUAUUGAUUUAUUUGUUUUAGCAGGCAAUUAUUUAUACUCAAAUUUAAAACUAUCCCUUGGGUAGCAGCUCGAAUCUCAGUUCAGUUCUUUUAUCUUUGUGAUAAUUUGUGUCUGCUCCAUCAAGAAUAUACACAUGACAUAUACCUCAGAAUUACAUGACGUGAUCUCACUUGGAAUUUUAUCAAGUGCAUAUUCAUCUACAAUUCCUACUUCUUCUUAAUAUAAUGAUUUACUAUCAUGAAAUGUUCUCCUUCAUCUCUGGUAACUCUUUUUGUCUGAAAGUUUAGUUUGUCUCAUAUUAAUAAAUUCAAGGGUCAACCAGAAAUUUGGGUAGUGUUUAUAUACAGAUUUGGGAGCUUCCCCUCUCUGCCUCUCUUCUUUCCAAGAUUCUGAAUUCAUUUUCCUGUGGCUAUGAUUGCCCUGAACCCUGUUCUUUGGGUCUUCAAACCAAAAACACUGUGAGUUUUCUAUUGGAGGAUGGCCACCCGAAAUGACAUUAAUUUUAGCCUGUUCUCACUCUAAAAGUUGUAAAAUGGGAAACUCACUCUGGACCGAUCUGUGCUUCCAAGUUUUGAAUUUCAGCUCCCCUCCAGAAUCUGUCUGCUUAUUUUUAUUCUCUAAUGCUUCCAGGUAAUUUCUUUUUUCUUUUCUUUUUUCUUUUCUUUUUUUUUUUUUUGUUUUUGGUCUUUUGGUACUUUAUAGUUGAUAUCUGUGAGAAUUUCAGAUCCAGUAGAACUUACUUAGCCAUAUUGGAAAUGGAAACAAGUAAAAACAUUUAGGAAACAUUCCUUUGCAUUUCCUAACACCUCUCCUCAAAAUACUUAACCUCCGUCCAUUCCCUCAUUUAGUGACAUUUGAGUUUGGUUUUAAGUAGAAAUAGAAGCCAGGCUCAGGGCUUCCUUGAUCAUCUUGCCAAGUACAUGAGAAGACUUGGAAUGAAAACACAGCAUAAAGUUAAAUGAUAGAAUGAUAGAACAUCAAUCAAUUCUAGCUCUUAGACUGGUGGCAUUUAAUCUCAAAGCAAUGAGGCUUAUACAGAAUCAUGACUACCAGUGAUUAUCUACAUGGUACUUUGCCACGUUAUUUUACCUUAUUUCUUUGGUCUCAGAUAUCUCUAAAUCCUGCCUCAUUGAAAACUGCAAUAGAUAAUAUGCCACGAGAAACAGAAUACUGAAAAUCCUAAAAUGCCAACCCAGAGUUGGUAAUUGCACAAUUCCUUCUAAUCAUAAUCAUUAUGGCUUCCACUUCUUGAAAGCUUCUGUAUACCAGCCACCUUGCUAACCACUUUACAUUAAUUGUCAGUUAAUCCUUCACAACUAUUCUUUGAGCAGUUCCCAUAACUAGCUUCAUUUUACGGAGGAAGUAACCAGAGUUCCGAGAGGUUGAGUUCACUAAGAGCACACAGCAAACAGUAGAACUCUGAGUCAGUCUUUGUAAAGAGAAGAAAUAGCAAAGGGGUUUUGGAGACAUCAGGCACAUACUCUUUACUAUUAGGAGAGAAAAUAGAAGUCUUUCUAGGAGUAAGUAGGGUUUCUAAAACUUAAAUAGUCUACAGUCCUUUUUGUCAGUAAUUAUUGAUAUUAAAAUGCCACCCUUCCAGAAACAAUAUAUUUUAUAUUGACAGCUUUUAUGUUUAAAAAGAACCUUCUAGCCGGGAGUGAUGGCUCACACCUGUAAUCCCUGCACUUUGGGUGGCUGAGGUGGGUGGAUCACUUGAGGUCAGGGGUUCAAGACCAGCCUGGCCAACACGGUAAAACCCCAUCUCUACUAAAAAUACAAAAAUUAGGUGGGCCUGGUGGCGGGCGCUUGUAAUCCCAGCUACUUGGGAGGCUGAGGCACAAAAAUUGCUUAAACCCAGGAGGUAGAGGUUGCGGUUAGCUGAGAUCACACCAUUGUACUCCAGCCUGGGCGACAGCGAGACUCCAUUUCAAAAAAGAAAGCCCUCCUUCAGGGCUUAAAACACUAACCCAAACAAUAACAAAAGGAUCAAAUAAUUAUAUGUAAAGGCUCAUAUGAAAAGGCACAUAACACCAGUGCUCCAUUUUACCUCAUUUCAUUUACUGCCUUUAAACUUUGUUUUCCAGGUAAACCAUCUAAACAGGCAGGUGACCUGCCAGAGAAAAAUCUGGCACAUUAGGAAGUAAAGAUGCCUGCCUCAUCCCACAACAAGAUGCAGCAAUGUCUCACAGUUCUACAACUCUAGGGGCAAUCCUGCCCAACUUUGCAAAUUUUGCAUAAACCGUGGGUUUCAAGUGACUUUGGAAUGAGAGGGAAAGGGAAGGCAGCACGAAGGAUAAGCUGGCUGACAUUGUAAAGUGGAUACAGGAAACUGGGACUUAACCGGAAGCAGGAAAAGGAAUACAGUAUCUUUGUGUUCUGGUACAUAGGAUUAUUCAAUAUACAUAUUUAUUAUACAUGUUAAAUUGUCUGAGACCCGGAAAUGAGAGAUACUGUUAAAGGAGUAAAGAUGAGAUGAGGUAACAGAAAAGGAGAGGAGUAAAUAUGAGUCCUAAGGAGGGGUUACAUGAGCACAGUCCCCUGACGACAUGCUAGAGAUUACCAGAUUAGUGCAUUGCUCCUACUUUCUUGCUAUUAUUAUUAUUAUUAUGGGGUUUUUUUGGCAGGGUCUCACUCUGUCGCCUAGGCUGGAGUGCAAUGGCAUGAUCUUAGCUCACUGCAACCUCCACCUCCCAGGUUCAAGUGAUUCUCCUGCCUCAGCCUCCUGAGUAGCUGGGAUUACAGACACCUGCUACCACAUCCGGCUAAUUUUUGGAUUUUUGGUAGAGAUGAGGUUUCACCAUGUUGGCCAGGCUGGUCUCAAACUCCUGACCUCAAGUGAUCCACCUACCUCGGCCUCCCAAAGUGCUGGGAUUACAGGCCCUUUGCUGCUAUUUUUAAAAAUACAUAUUCAACAUAUCCGGUGAAAUCAUUCAAAGAUGCAUACAGAUAAGUGAUUAUUUUACUCUAACGUAAAGCCUCUUUGUAAGACCUACCCUUCACUGUCUGUCCCAGCAUAUGCCCUAGGACUUCCUCUGACCAUGAACAGUACCAUGCCACUGAAGGAGAUCUGUUUCAACAGAGCCUCCUCCUGCUGCUCCUAACUUUAUUUCCAUUCCACUAGCAUUCUCAAAGUCAUGCAAAACAUAACAACCUGACUUUGUAACUGUUUAACCUUACUUUUUACACGUAAAAAUUAUUAAAUAUGUGUAACUGCUGGGGGGAGGAUAAUAUAAUGGCAUGUCAGUCAGGUAACAGGUAAGCUACAUUUCAUGGAAAAGAAGGGGAAUGCUUUCUUCAGAAAGUGAAGUCAUCAUUCUUUUAUUUAACUGACAUAAUAUUUAUACCCCAAUUUUUAAAAUGGCAGCUACAAAUAGAAGUCGAAAGAGGGUAAAUUCUCCAAGGGAAUCUAGCCCUGAAAUUUUACCAUUUUAAAAGUUCUAUUUUACAAGUACAUAGGAACAUUACUACUAUUAUAAGGAUACUCACAGCAGGUCAAUUAUUUCAAACUCUUUGAAAAAAAAAUCAAAAUUAAGUAAACCUACCUUUCAGAAGACUGCUACCUCUUCGGAGUCCUCAGUGGCAGGAUGCACAGAGCUUUUAUAGAGGGUCUAAGCAGGCAGGUAUUCCUAGGAUACCUACACCAAGGACAAGAAAUUCAGAUGAUUAUUUCAGCAGUGAUCCAGAUGGCUCUAGGUACAAUUUCAUUAGGAACGUUCACCAUGAAUACUGAGCAUUGCCACACAGGUAUUGUUAAAAGGGCAGAAUGAAGGUACAUAUGUGAUUUUUGCAGGCAUUGUCAUUAAUCUGUACAUUGGAGACUGUGGCUCAAAAGGGUGUAAGUGGUUCAUACAUGAUCACACAAGAAAAGGGGCAGAACCAUGCCUUAAUUAUUCAUUUCUGAUUCCUAGUCCAGGGUUGUUUCAGCCACAUCAUCUGAUCCUCCUCAAGAACUGGAAAGUCCUGGCACUGGGGCUUUCCAUUUUGCAAAAAGAUGAGGCUGACCCGUGAGUCUGGUGGGAAGAGUCUUUCUCUGGUUUUCUGGUGGUCUAUGCCAAGUCACCUGUCUGAAGUGUCCUGUGUGGCCAGUUUACUCACUUUCCCUUGAAACUCUGGUGUCCACAGAAUCUGAAGGAAUCUGACAAGCAAAGAAACAUGGGUUUUUUUGGUCCCACUGGCCUGAGUUUGAAUCCUAGUAAUGUGUUUACUACUUCUGUAUCCUAUGUAGCUGCUCAACAUCACUGAGGCUCACUUUCUAUCUCUAUCAAACGGGUAUAAUAAUAUUUGAAGG
RNAcentral lists this long non-coding RNA (8687 nucleotides) under Homo sapiens (human). RNAcentral describes it as "HSALNT0055299". Lineage: Eukaryota; Metazoa; Chordata; Mammalia; Primates; Hominidae. The record is from RNAcentral.